RNAcentral lists this ribosomal RNA (301 nucleotides) under uncultured bacterium. Its description in RNAcentral is "partial 16S ribosomal RNA". It matches the Rfam family "Bacterial small subunit ribosomal RNA", at positions 509 to 808 of the family's 1533-position model. The record is from RNAcentral.
CAGUAGCCGCGGUAAUACGUAGGUCCCGAGCGUUGUCCGGAUUUAUUGGGCGUAAAGCGAGCGCAGGCGGUUAGAUAAGUCUGAAGUUAAAGGCUGUGGCUUAACCAUAGUACGCUUUGGAAACUGUUUAACUUGAGUGCAGAAGGGGAGAGUGGAAUUCCAUGUGUAGCGGUGAAAUGCGUAGAUAUAUGGAGGAACACCGGUGGCGAAAGCGGCUCUCUGGUCUGUAACUGACGCUGAGGCUCGAAAGCGUGGGGAGCAAACAGGAUUAGAUACCCCUGUAGUCCCUGUCUCUUAUACC